RNAcentral lists this ribosomal RNA (253 nucleotides) under uncultured bacterium. RNAcentral's name for it is "partial 16S ribosomal RNA". It matches the Rfam family "Bacterial small subunit ribosomal RNA", at positions 524 to 776 of the family's 1533-position model. The record is from RNAcentral.
UACAGAGGUCCCGAGCGUUGUUCGGAUUCACUGGGCGUAAAGGGUGCGUAGGCGGUCGGGUAAGUCUGACGUGAAAUCUCCGGGCCUAACCCGGAAACUGCGUUGGAAACUGCCUGGCUAGAGGAAUGGAGGGGAGACUGGAAUACUUGGUGUAGCAGUGAAAUGCGUAGAUAUCAAGUGGAACACCAGUGGCGAAGGCGAGUCUCUGGACAUUUCCUGACGCUGAGGCACGAAAGCCAGGGGAGCAAACGGG